Molecule: long non-coding RNA, 682 nt
Organism: Spinacia oleracea (spinach)
Lineage: Eukaryota; Viridiplantae; Streptophyta; Magnoliopsida; Caryophyllales; Amaranthaceae
Exons: 3
Source: RefSeq, a predicted model, not a curated record
CUCAAACCCCCCUUUUUUUUCCUUUGUUUCACGUAACCCAUUUCUCCUUCACGUGAACUGCUACCCUCAGACUUUGCAGCCGCCAGCCACCACACACCUUCCGAACCGCCGUCCCUGCGCCACCGCUGCCCAACCGCCGGUAACUCCUCCUCCUUUUCCUUCUUUUUCUUUUCUAUUUCAUUCGCUCCUUGCUGUUUCGUUCUCGUUCUCACGAUUACUUCGCUUUCCUCCUCCUCACUCGGUUCCGUUUGCUGCGACAACCGCCACCACCACCUGAUCGCCGCUGCUGAGCCACCCCCUUGCCAUGCCGCUGAGACGUCGCCCGGUACUCUCUUAUUCCUCCUCCCUCUCUUGUUUCAUUCUUCCUCUUGUUCGUUUUUUUUAACAACGGUUGUUUAUGUUUUCGCAAAGCCACCACCACCACGCUGCCACCAGCGCACCUCCGUGUGCAACCCUGCCGCCCAGCCAUGCCUCCAGCCGUGCCCUCGUCCGCUGGCAGACCUCCUCUCUCCUCUUUACUUGGAGGAGAAUUCUCUGUAGACGAGAUUUGAAAGUGUUAAAGUGGCCUAUUAGUUGUUUAUACAAGUCUCUAAGGAUCAAUAAGCAUUGUCCAUCUGCAGGUUUGAAGAUGUUGCAUCAUUGGGAUCGGGAAUAGAGAGCUUGUAUUUAGUUUUGUUUUGCU